CCAAAUGUGGGGCAGGGAUGAUCUAUAGGGUGCAUCUGUGGGACAGAAAUUCAGGAUCUGUGGGGCAGGGAUGGAUCUAUGGGGCAGAACCUAUGGGGUAAAUCUAUGGGGCAGGGAUGGAUCUAUGGGUCACACAAAAUCUAUGGGGCAGGGAUUCAGGAUCUAUGGGGCAGGGAUGGAUCUAUGGGGCAGGGAUUCAGGAUUUAUGGGGCACAGGGGAUCUAUGGGGCAGAUCUAUGGGGCAGGGAUGGAUCUAUGGGGUGAAUCUAUGGGUCAGGGAUGAUCUAUGGGGUGAAUCCAUGGGGCACACAGGAUCUAUGGGUCACAGGGGAUCUAUGGGUCAGGAUUUACCAUUCCAUGGGGUGUUUCAGUGUUGGUGGUUCCCUCUGUGCAAUGUGAUAGAGGGCGCUGUGGGGCAGGGAUGGAUCUAUGGGGUGAAUCUAUGGGGCAGGGAUGAUCUAUGGGUCACACAGGAUCUAUGGGGUGAAUCUAUAGGUCACACAGGAUCUAUGGGGAAGAAACUCAGGAUCUAUGGGUCAGGAUUUACCAUUCCUGUGGGUAUUUCAACGUUGGAGGUUCCCUCUGUGCAAUGUGAUAGAGGGCGCUGUGGGGCAGGGAUGGUCUAUAGGAUAAAUCUAUGGGUCACACAGGAUCUAUGGGGCAGAUCUAUGGGGCAGCACUGACCAUUCCAUGGGGUGUUUCAAUGUUGGUGGUUACCUCUGUGCAAUGUGAUAGAGGGCGCUGUGGGGCACGGAUGGAUCUAUGGGGCAGGGAUUCAGGAUCUAUGGGUCACACAGGAUCUAUAGGGCAGAUCUAUGGGGCAGGAAUUCAGGAUCUAUGGGUCAGGAUUUACCAUUCCUGUGGGUAUUUUAACGUCGGUGGUUCUCUCUGUGCAAUGUGAUAGAGAGCGCUGUGGGGCAGGGAUGGAUCUAUGGGGUAAAUCUAUGGGGCAGGAAUGAAUCUAUAGGGUAAAUCUAUGGGGCAGAUCUAUGGGUCAGGAUUUACCAUUCCUGUGGGUAUUUCAAUGUCGGUGGCUCUCUCUGUGCAAUGUGAUAGAGGGCGCUGUGGGGCAGGGAUGGAUCUAUGGGGCACACAGGGAUGGAUCUAUAAGGCAGAUCUAUGGGUCACACAGGAUCUAUGGGGCACAGGGGAUCUAUGGGGCAGGAUUUCAGAUCUAUGGGUCAGCCCCACACCUGUGGAUGACCCCCAGUCCGUGCAGGUACCCCAGGCCCUGCAGGGAUGGAUCCAUGGGUCAGACAGGAUCUAUGGGUCAGGAUUUCAGGAUCUAUGGGGCAGGAUUUCAGAUCUAUGGGUCAGGAUUUCAGGAUCUAUGGGGUACAAGGAUGAUCUAUGGGUCAGAUCUAUGGGUCAGGAUUUCAGGAUCUAUGGGUCACACCUGUGUAUGACCCCCAGUCCGUGCAGGUACCCCAGCCCCUGCAGGGAUGGAUCUAUGGGUCAGACAGGAUCUAUGGGUCNGACAGGAUCUAUGGGUCAGAUCUAUGGGUCACACCUGUGUAUGACCCCCAGUCCGUGCAGGUACCCCAGCCCCUGCAGGGAUGGAUCUAUGGGUCUGAUCUAUGGGUCAGACAGGAUCUAUGGGUCACACAGACAGGAUCCAUGGGGCAGGAUUUCAGAUCUAUGGGUCAGACCUGUGAAUGGCCCCCAAGCCGUGCAGGUACCCCAGCCCCUGCAGGGAUGGAUCCAUGGGUCAGAUCUAUAGGUCAGACAGUAUCUAUGGGUCAGAUCUAUGGGUCAGCCCCACACCUGUGGAUGACCCCCAGUCCGUGCAGGUACCCCAGCCCCUGCAGGGAUGGAUCUAUGGGGCAGACACAAUCUAUGGGUCAGACAGGAUCUAUGGGUCAGACAGGAUCUAUGUGGCACACACACAGGAUCUAUGGGGCACAGGGAUGAUCUAUGGGGCAGCCCCACACCUGUGGAUGACCCCCAAUCCGUGCAGGUACCCCAGCCCCUGCAGGGAUGGAUCUAUGGGGCACAGAGAUGAAUCUAUGGGGCAGGAUCUCAGAUCUAUGGGUCACACAGGCUCUAUGGGGCACACAGACAGGAUCUAUGGGUCAGCCCCACACCUGUGAAUGACCCCCAGUCCGUGCAGGUACCCCAGCCCCUGCAGGGAUGGAUCUAUGGGGCAGACAGUCAGGAUCUAUAGAGCAGAUCUAUGGGUCAGGAUUUCAGGAUCUAUGGGGCACAGGGAUGAUCUAUGGGGCACAGGGAUGAUCUAUGGGGCAGCCCCACACCUGUGGAUGACCCCCAGUCCGUGCAGGUACCCCAGCCCCUGCAGGGAUGGAUCUAUAGGGCACAGGGACAGAUCUAUGGAUCAGGAUUUCAGGAUCUAUGGGUCACACAGGAUCUAUGGGUCAGGGAUGGAUCUAUGGGUCAGCCCCACACCUGUGUAUGACCCCCAGUCCGUGCAGGUAGCCCAGCCCCUGCAGGGAUGGAUCCAUGGGGCAGGGUUUCAGGAUCUAUGGGUCAGCCCCACACCUGUGAAUGACCCCCAGUCCGUGCAGGUACCCCAGCCCCUGCAGGGAUGGAUCCAUGGGGCAGGAUUUCAGGAUCUAUGGGUCAGACACAAUCUAUGGGUCACACAGACAGGAUCUAUGGGGCAGAUCUAUGGGUCAGGGAUGGAUCUAUGGGUCAGAUCUAUGGGUCACACCUGUGAAUGACCCCCAUUGCGUGCAGGUAGCCCAGGCCCUGCAGGGCNUUUC
Molecule: long non-coding RNA, 2720 nt
Organism: Zonotrichia albicollis (white-throated sparrow)
Lineage: Eukaryota; Metazoa; Chordata; Aves; Passeriformes; Passerellidae
Source: Ensembl